ACACAACCCUGUCUCCCACACACACACACACACACUUGUGCCAUCAAGUGUUUAUCAUUUGUGUCACCUAAUAGGAGAUCAUUGGCAUUGAAGCCAAAGAAACAACCCUGAAAUAGCUACAAUUCCUCUUCACUACUGUGCAGGACUCACAGUCGCUGAGUUUCAUUUUGGCAUUUUGUAACAGCUUGCAUCACUUUAUUACAUGAUGAAUGUGUCCCUGUCACAAAAACCAGCUCCAAUGCAAACGGUGCUGUCUGCAGGGAGAAAAAACAACAAAAAUUUGCUGUCAAGACAAGUGUUAAGAUUGCACAAACUAUAAAAGGGUGCCACUAUUUUAGUAUUUAUAGGUUUCAAGCACCAGUUUGAGAGAGAGUUUAACAAAAAGGAGGCACUGCAGAAAAAUGGUAAUAUCCUACAGGGUGGACUGUCUCAUCUAUCAUGUCAGAUGGCCUUAAAAUGCAUUAUUGUCAGAGUUUCAGCUAGUCUAGCCCUGCCAUAAAAAAAAAAAAGUUGCCCGCCCCCCAACACACACACACACACACACACACACACACACACACACACACUGUAUAAUAUGCGGUUUCGGUUUGAUUACAGUCUCUAGCAGAACUGAUAAGACUGUGUGGGUGGAAAAAGCACCAUUGAAACAAGGAGGAUCUGACACAUCGAGCAGUGAUCUGUGAAGACAAGUAACUGGAGGGAAUGUGAAAAGAUAAAACAUUUACCUUACCUAAGGUGCCACCGGCAAUUUUUAAAUCCACAACAAAGAUGACAGAAACUAGUUUUGUGUCUGUUAAGUUGUAACACCUUUUGUUAAAGGCCAUGGAUGUAGGAAGCAUUGGAAAUGCAGUCCAAAUGUAGCCAAGGAAAUAUGUCAGUAUUACUUCACCCCUGAGAAAAUGCAACAAGGUCUAUAUGAACUGGUUUCGUGUUGGCCGUAAGGGUAAUGGGUUUGUAUUAUCAGAAAAUUGCUUAUUAAUGUUCCCUUGGAGGCUUUUCAUCAGUAAAGGUGGUUGAGGCCCAAGGUUUCUACACUGAUGCUGUGUCAUAGAUGGAAUACAUAACAGCCUUGCUCUUUUAGCCAAAGAUCUAAAGCAAAGUUGCUAAAAGAUUAGCUUUCACUAUCAUGUGUACCUCCAAGUCUCUUCAUGUGUACUGAACCAUGUCUCUAGGUUAAAUAAUAAAUGAGGUUGUUUACAGA
This is a long non-coding RNA of Sander lucioperca (pikeperch), 1201 nucleotides long. RefSeq lists it as uncharacterized. The record is from RefSeq and is a predicted model, not a curated record. The transcript is spliced from 2 exons. Lineage: Eukaryota; Metazoa; Chordata; Actinopteri; Perciformes; Percidae.